UGAGAUAGAGGAUGCACCUGGUCAGGAGUAGAUAUCCCCAAGGAUAUGCAGAUCCGGGAUAUAUGAAAGGGACGGGUGCCGAAGUGAGGAAGGGGCUGCUUCCCCUCUGAACUGGGCGUAUGGAUAAUAUCCAUGCGACUGUCGCGAAGAAACGCGGAGAGCUAUCC
This 167-nucleotide non-coding RNA is filed under the name bovine gut metagenome. RNAcentral describes it as "Lysine riboswitch". It matches the Rfam family "Lysine riboswitch aptamer". From Rfam's summary of the family: Riboswitches are metabolite binding domains within certain messenger RNAs that serve as precision sensors for their corresponding targets. Allosteric rearrangement of mRNA structure is mediated by ligand binding, and this results in modulation of gene expression. The record is from RNAcentral.